GCGGGGGUAGAGCACUGUUUAGGGUAGUGCCUCAAGUAUUACCUGCGGGGGUAGAGCACUGUUUAGGCUAGGGGGUCAUGGCGACUUACCAAACCUAUGCAAACUCCGAAUACUGCAGAGUACAGCUUGGGAGACAGAGCACCGGGUGCUAACGUCCGGACUCAAGAGGGAAACAACCCAGACCGCCAGCUAAGGUCCCCAAAAUUGGCUAAGUGGGAAACGAAGUGGGAAGGCUAAAACAGUCAGGAUGUUGGCUUAGAAGCAGCCAUCAUUUAAAGAAAGCGUAAUAGCUCACUGAUCGAGUCGUCCUGCGCGGAAGAUGUAACGGGGCUAAGCCAGUCACCGAAGCUGCGGAUAUCUUUCUCUUUGCUUGCAUCGAGAUCAAUAUGGUAGGAGAGCGUUCUGUAAGCCUGCGAAGGUGUCUUGUAAAGGAUGCUGGAGGUAUCAGAAGUGCGAAUGCUGACAUGAGUAGCGAUAAUGCGGGUGAAAAGCCCGCACGCCGUAAGCCCAAGGUUUCCUGUUCAACGUUCAUCGGAGCAGGGUGAGUCGGCCCCUAAGGCGAGGCAGAGAUGCGUAGCUGAUGGGAAGCAGGUUAAUAUUCCUGCACCGUCGUAUGAUGCGAUGGGGGGACGGAUCGCGGAAGGUUGUCCAGCUGUUGGAAUAGCUGGUUCUUGACUCAUAGAAGGCGCUUAGGCAAAUCCGGGCGCGUAAUUCAAGGGGUUGAGACGUGUGCCCUUGUGGCACGAAGCAAUCGGAAGUGGUUCCAAGAAAAGCCUCUAAGCUUCAGUCAUACGAGACCGUACCGCAAACCGACACAGGUGGGCGAGAUGAGUAUUCUAAGGCGCUUGAGAGAACUCGGGAGAAGGAACUCGGCAAAUUGGUACCGUAACUUCGGGAAAAGGUACGCCCCGGUAGCUUGACCACUUUACUGUGGAAGGGCGAAAGGGUUGCAAUAAACUGGUGGCUGCGACUGUUUAAUAAAAACACAGCACUCUGCAAACACGAAAGUGGACGUAUAGGGUGUGACGCCUGCCCGGUGCUGGAAGAUUAAAUGAUGGGGUGCAAGCUCUUGAUUGAAGUCCCAGUAAACGGCGGCCGUAACUAUAACGGUCCUAAGGUAGCGAAAUUCCUUGUCGGGUAAGUUCCGACCUGCACGAAUGGCGUAACGAUGGCCACACUGUCUCCUCCCGAGACUCAGCGAAGUUGAAAUGUUUGUGAUGAUGCAAUCUACCCGCGGCUAGACGGAAAGACCCCAUGAACCUUUACUGUAGCUUUGCAUUGGACUUUGAACCAAUCUGUGUAGGAUAGGUGGGAGGCUUUGAAGCGGGGACGCCAGUUCUCGUGGAGCCAUCCUUGAAAUACCACCCUGGUUUGUUUGAGGUUCUAACCUUGGUCCGUUAUCCGGAUCGGGGACAGUGCAUGGUAGGCAGUUUGACUGGGGCGGUCUCCUCCUAAAGAGUAACGGAGGAGUACGAAGGUGCGCUCAGCGUGGUCGGAAAUCACGCGUAGAGUAUAAAGGCAAAAGCGCGCUUAACUGCGAGACCCACAAGUCGAGCAGGUACGAAAGUAGGUCUUAGUGAUCCGGUGGUUCUGUAUGGAAGGGCCAUCGCUCAACGGAUAAAAGGUACUCUGGGGAUAACAGGCUGAUUCCUCCCAAGAGUUCAUAUCGACGGGGGAGUUUGGCACCUCGAUGUCGGCUCAUCACAUCCUGGGGCUGUAGCCGGUCCCAAGGGUAUGGCUGUUCGCCAUUUAAAGUGGUACGUGAGCUGGGUUUAAAACGUCGUGAGACAGUUUGGUCCCUAUCUGCCGUGGGCGUUGGAAAUUUGAAGGGGGCUGCUCCUAGUACGAGAGGACCGGAGUGGACGAACCUCUGGUGUA
Molecule: ribosomal RNA, 1878 nt
Filed under: Bos taurus (domestic cattle)
Lineage: Eukaryota; Metazoa; Chordata; Mammalia; Artiodactyla; Bovidae
Description: bacterial LSU rRNA
Rfam family: Bacterial large subunit ribosomal RNA
Source: RNAcentral